UACGAAGGGGGCUAGCGUUGCUCGGAAUGACUGGGCGUAAAGGGCGCGUAGGCGGUUUGUAGAGUCAGGUGUGAAAUUCCCGGGCUCAACCUGGGGGCUGCACUUGAUACGUAUGGACUGGAGUGGGGAAGAGGGUCGUGGAAUUCCCAGUGUAGAGGUGAAAUUCGUAGAUAUUGGGAAGAACACCGGUGGCGAAGGCGGCGACCUGGUCCUUGACUGACGCUGAGGCGCGAAAGCGUGGGGAGCAAACAGG
RNAcentral lists this ribosomal RNA (253 nucleotides) under uncultured bacterium. RNAcentral's name for it is "partial 16S ribosomal RNA". It matches the Rfam family "Bacterial small subunit ribosomal RNA", at positions 524 to 776 of the family's 1533-position model. The record is from RNAcentral.